AGAGUUUGAUCAUGGCUCAGAACGAACGCUGGCGGCGUGCUUAACACAUGCAAGUCGCGUGCGCAGUCCGUAGCAAUACGGAUGGGCGCACGGCGCACGGGUGCGUAACACGUGGGCAAUCUGCCCUCUGAUGGGGAAUAACCCGCCGAAAGGCGGGCUAAUUCCGCAUAAGAUUCCCGGGGCUUCGGUCCUGGGAUUGAAAGCAGUAAUGCGUCGGAGGAGGAGCCCGCGCCCGAUUAGCUAGUUGGUGAGGUAAUGGCUCACCAAGGCAAUGAUCGGUAGCUGGUCUGAGAGGAUGAUCAGCCACACUGGAACUGAGACACGGUCCAGACUCCUACGGGAGGCAGCAGUGGGGAAUCUUGCACAAUGGGCGAAAGCCUGAUGCAGCGACGCCGCGUGGGGGAUGAAGCAUUUCGGUGUGUAAACCCCUUUCGACUGGGAAGAAUACCUCGCAAGAGGGGUGACGGUACCAGUAGAAGAAGCCCCGGCUAACUACGUGCCAGCAGCCGCGGUAAGACGUAGGGGGCCAGCGUUGUUCGGAAUUACUGGGUGUAAAGGGUUCGUAGGCGGUGCGGCAAGUUGGGAGUGAAAUCUCUGGGCUUAACCCAGAGGCUGCUUCCAAAACUGCUGUGCUCGAGUGUGAGAGAGGCUCGUGGAAUUGCAGGUGUAGCGGUGAAAUGCGUAGAUAUCUGCAGGAACACCCGUGGCGAAAGCGGCGAGCUGGAUCACUACUGACGCUGAGGAACGAAAGCUAGGGGAGCAAACAGGAUUAGAUACCCUCGUAGUCC
This 788-nucleotide ribosomal RNA is filed under the name uncultured bacterium. RNAcentral's name for it is "bacterial SSU rRNA". It matches the Rfam family "Bacterial small subunit ribosomal RNA", at positions 8 to 796 of the family's 1533-position model. The record is from RNAcentral.